UGGGGAAUAUUGCACAAUGGGCGAAAGCCUGAUGCAGCGACGCCGCGUGAGUGAGGAAGUAUUUCGGUAUGUAAAGCUCUAUCAGCAGGGAAGAAAGAAAUGACGGUACCUGAGUAAGAAGCUCCGGCUAAAUACGUGCCAGCAGCCGCGGUAAUACGUAUGGAGCAAGCGUUAUCCGGAUUUACUGGGUGUAAAGGGAGCGUAGGCGGCAGAGCAAGUCUGAUGUGAAAGCCCGGGGCUCAACCCCGAUAGUGCAUUGGAAACUGUUCAGCUCGAGUGUCGGAGGGGUAAGCGGAAUUCCUGGUGUAGCGGUGAAAUGCGUAGAUAUCAGGAAGAACACCGGAGGCGAAGGCGGCUUACUGGACGAUUACUGACGCUGAGGCUCGAAAGCGUGGGGAGCGAACA
Molecule: ribosomal RNA, 405 nt
Filed under: uncultured Lachnospiraceae bacterium
Lineage: Bacteria; Bacillati; Bacillota; Clostridia; Lachnospirales; Lachnospiraceae
Description: bacterial SSU rRNA
Rfam family: Bacterial small subunit ribosomal RNA
Source: RNAcentral